AAGAACACUGACUGCUCUUGUAGAAAACCCAGGUUCAAUUCUCACCACCCACAUGGUGACUCACAACCAUCUUUUAAUUCUAGUUCUAGGGGACCUAGUUCUCUCUUCUAACUUCUAACCAGGUAUGCAUAUGGUAUACAUAUAUACAUGUAGGCAAAACAUUCAUCUACAUGUCUAAAAUUUGAGAAUAAAAUUUUGAAAUAAAAUAUGGUACAUACCUAUUCUCAGCACUUGAGAGGUUUAAGUGGAAGAAUUAACUUGAGGUCUGUCACUGCUACGCAGUGUAUUUGAGGAUCGCCUGGGCUACAUGACACCCUGUUCCCCUCUCCAAAUCCCUAUUUUUUUCAUGUGCUCAUUAUUUCUUGUCAGUUUAUACCUCAUCCUAUGCUGCUUCUGCCAUUUUUCCAGCACUUGCUCUUGUCUGGUUGUCUGAAAUGCUCUCGUUACCUUAUAAUUCUUUCCCUUAAGAUGUACGUACUUCCUCUGGUUUCCUCCACAUCAAAGAGAAGGAAUUGGUAUAUGUUUCCAGUUUGAAUUGAAAUACAUAAAUGCAUUCUAGCAAGGCUUAGUCUGAUUUUUCUAGUUGACUAGUGUUUUGUUUUGUUUUGUUUUGUUUUGUUUUGUUUUUCGAGACAGGGUUUCUCUGUAUAGCCCUGCUGGCUGUCCUGGAACUCACUUUGUAGAACAGGCUGGCCUCAAACUCAGAAAUCCGCCUGCCUCUGCCUCCCAAGUGCUGGGAUUAAAGGUGUAUGGCCACCACCGCCCAGCUCUAGUUGACUAGUAAUUUAUUAUGGCAGAUGCUCAGUAAAUGGGAAUGAAAAAAUGGUUUAGGAAUAAGGAGAAGGCCAAGGGAGCCCUCCCACAUCUGACUCAUGUUCCUCUGGUUUUCUUAGUUCUUAUGUCAUACAGUGAAUUUAUCUGUGUAAGAGUUAUAUUCCUCCAACAGUCCCUCCCACCAAGAAACAGCAAACGCUUUGAUUGCACUACCCUUUAUUUCCUAGGAUGGAAGUAUCUUAAAUCACAUCCUGGGCCUCAGAGUCCCGUGUGUUGAGGUUUCCAACCCCUCACAGAGAUGGAACAUGUUUAGGGAGGCUCACUGGCCAGGGUGGCCAAGGUCCCUUUCAAGGGGAUACACCAUGAAGAUGACAUUGUCCCAGGGAGGGAGGGCAGGAUGAUCUGGUCUAACCACCUCGAAGCCCAUGUAGCUAAAGGCUCGCAGCAGGGCACCUGUAGAAGAACAGAACAAAUGAUUAGAAUAGCCACUGAAGCUCAGCCCAUAUACUCCUCAUACAUGUUUUCUCAAGAGAGUGACUAGCAAGCAGGGUAGUGCAGGCGUAGGGUGUGCUUUGGAGUGAUAGACACGGGCUCUACCCUGCAUUUAUUAUUCAUUUUAAAUUCUAGUUAACCUUUCAGAUCUCCAGUUUACUCAUUUGCAAAGUGAGAAUGAGAACCUUCCUCACAGAUUUAAGAUGUGAUUAUUCAAGGAUGUAGUACAGUUAAGCAGCAUCUGGGCUUGGGGGAUAUUGUUUUGGUUGGUUGGUUGGGGGCUUGGGUAUUGUUUUGAUUGGUUGGUUGGGGGCUUGGGGGGUAUUGUUUUGGUUGGUUGGGUUUGUUUUUGUUGUUGGCUUUGCUUUUUUCAGUUUUGGUUUUGGUUUGAGAUGAGAUCUCACUAUGAAGCCAAUCUGACCUUGAGUGCAGAAUUCUUCUGCCUUAGCUUUUCAAAUGCUGGGAUCACAGGUUUGUACCAUAAUAUCCAGCUCAUUUUGUCUUAUAUCCAGCAGAAUAUAAACUCUUUGAGAGAUGAGCAAUAACAGACUACACCUGGUUAAAUAUAUUCCUGUCCUUCUAGCCCUACUACUGUGAGAGCUUGAUACAUUUGCUUGACAUUCUUUGUCAAUCCAUCAUAUCCCUUGAAUGGAUUCUGUAAUUUCUUCCAUGCUUCUUAUUCAUCCAAUUGUAAUGGUACUGAAUAUAAUGUUGUGUGCCUUAACUUCCUUUGCAACAGAAGUGGGGACAGGGUACUGAAGUGCCAGAGGGAAGAGGGACACACCUCUGUCCUUCCGAUCGAUUUGGAAGUUCACAAACACAGAGUCCACAUUGGUUUUCUCCUCCACAUACUCCAGUGUUGCUGUCAAGCUAGAGGCCAGAGAAAAAGUUAAUACUUAACUCAAAAUCCAGACAGACAGAAGAGGAGAAAUACUGGCAAGUGUUUGCUCUCUACCUACUGAAACUGGAAAAUAAAAAGUUGCUAAAGG
This 2255-nucleotide long non-coding RNA is filed under the name Mus musculus (house mouse). RNAcentral's name for it is "long non-coding RNA chr3:94432413-94434668". The record is from RNAcentral. Lineage: Eukaryota; Metazoa; Chordata; Mammalia; Rodentia; Muridae.